AGAAAAUUGGGUGAUCAAGCUACUAAGGGUGCAUGGUGGAUGUCUUGGUACCAAAAGCUGAUGAAGGACGUUGAAGGCUGCGAUAUGCUUCGGGGAGCUGCCAAACAAGCUUUGAUCCGGAGAAUUCCGAAUUGGGAAACCUGUCGUAAGGAGCACACAUGUGCUUCUUUUGGUUUAUACUGCGACAUCAUUAUCUGAAUAAAUAGGGUAAUGAGAGGAACGAAGGGAACUGAAACAUCUAAGUACCUUCAGGAAGAGAAAGAAAAAUCGAUUUCCCCAGUAGCGGCGAGCGAAAAGGAAAGAGCCUAAACUGGCCAUAUGUGAUAGCCCUUAUGUGUUGUAUGGUCAGGGUCGAGGGAGUUGCGAUGAGUAAGAUAAGGCUUGCUUAAAAUAACUCUUAUUUCUAGUCGAAUAAGCAGGAAAGCUUAGCUAUAAAGGGUGAUAGUCCCGUAGAUGAAAGUGAUAAGAGUUGUUUCAGUAAUUUCCCGAGUAAUGCCGGUCACGUGGAAACCGGCAUGAAUUCAGGAGGACCACCUCCUAAGGCUAAAUACUUUUGGUAACCGAUAGUGAACAAGUAGCGUGAGUGAAAGAUGAAAAGAACCCCUUUUAGGGGAGUGAAAUAGAACCUGAAACCAUGUACUUACAAGCGGUGGAAGCACAAUGUUGAUUGAAGGAUUUAUUAAUUUAAAUUUUUUCUUUUAAUUCGUGUAACCGCGUGCCUUUUGCAUAAUGAACCGGCGAGUUGUUGUUUGUUGCAGGUUAAGCCUAUAAUGGGUGGAACCAAAGCGAAAGCGAGUGCUAACUGCGCGACUGAAUGUAGCAAGUAGCAGACCCGAAACCGAGUGAUCUACCCUUGGUCAGGAUGAAGUUCCGGUAAAA
RNAcentral lists this ribosomal RNA (879 nucleotides) under Candidatus Scalindua sp. RNAcentral's name for it is "partial 23S ribosomal RNA". It matches the Rfam family "Bacterial large subunit ribosomal RNA", at positions 1 to 761 of the family's 2925-position model. Lineage: Bacteria; Pseudomonadati; Planctomycetota; Candidatus Brocadiia; Candidatus Brocadiales; Candidatus Scalinduaceae. The record is from RNAcentral.